Molecule: ribosomal RNA, 253 nt
Filed under: uncultured bacterium
Lineage: Bacteria
Description: partial 16S ribosomal RNA
Rfam family: Bacterial small subunit ribosomal RNA
Source: RNAcentral
GACGAACCGUGCAAACGUUGUUCGGAAUCACUGGGCUUAAAGGGCGCGUAGGCGGGCCAGCCAGUCUGUGGUGAAAGCCUCCAGCUUAACUGGAGAAGUGCCGUGGAUACUGCUGGCCUCGAGGAGGAUAGGGGCAUCUGGAACGGUCGGUGGAGCGGUGAAAUGCGUUGAUAUCGACCGGACCUCCGCUGGCGAACUCCAUGUGCUGGGUCCUUUCUGACGCUGAUGCGCUCAAUCCAGGGGAGCAAACGGG